GACGAACGCUGGCGGCGUGCUUAACACAUGCAAGUCGAGCGGUAAGGCCUUUCGGGGUACACGAGCGGCGAACGGGUGAGUAACACGUGGGUGAUCUGCCCUGCACUUCGGGAUAAGCCUGGGAAACUGGGUCUAAUACCGGAUAUGACCUCCUAUCGCAUGGUGGGUGGUGGAAAGAUUUAUCGGUGCAGGAUGGGCCCGCGGCCUAUCAGCUUGUUGGUGGGGUAAUGGCCUACCAAGGCGACGACGGGCAGCCGACCUGAGAGGGUGACCGGCCACACUGGUACUGAGACACGGCCCAGACUCCAACGGGGGGCAGCAGUGGGGAAUAUUGCACAAUGAGCGAGAGCCUGAUGCAGCGACGCCGCGUGAGGGAUGACGGCCUUCGGGUUGUAAACCUCUUUCAGCAAGGACGAAGCGCAAGUGACGGUACCUGCAGAAGAAGCACCGGCUAACUACGUG
RNAcentral lists this ribosomal RNA (462 nucleotides) under uncultured bacterium. RNAcentral describes it as "partial 16S ribosomal RNA". It matches the Rfam family "Bacterial small subunit ribosomal RNA", at positions 28 to 507 of the family's 1533-position model. The record is from RNAcentral.